CCCGGCGACCGGCGCACGGGUGAGUAACACGUAUGCAACCUGGCCGCCACAGGGGGAUAACCCGCGGAGACGCGGCCUAAUACCCCGUGACGCCACCGGAGGGCAUCCUCCGGUGGCCAAAGGAGCGAUCCGGUGGCGGAUGGGCAUGCGGCGCAUUAGCUAGACGGCGGGGUGACGGCCCACCGUGGCGACGAUGCGUAGGGGUUCUGAGAGGAAGGCCCCCCACACUGGGACUGAGACACGGCCCAGACUCCUACGGAAGGCAGCAG
This 269-nucleotide ribosomal RNA is filed under the name uncultured bacterium. RNAcentral's name for it is "partial 16S ribosomal RNA". It matches the Rfam family "Bacterial small subunit ribosomal RNA", at positions 87 to 354 of the family's 1533-position model. The record is from RNAcentral.